GACGAACGCUGGCGGCGUGCUUAACACAUGCAAGUCGAACGGAAAGGCCCUGCUCUUGUGGCUUUCUCGAUUGGCGAACGGGGGAGUAACACGUGAGGAUCCUGCCCUUGACUUUGUGAUAACUUCUGGAGACUGGGGCGAAUACCGGAGAGAAUCUACUGCUGCAUGGUGGGGGUUGGAAAGUUUCGGCGGUGUGGGAUGGACUGGCUGCUUAUCAGCUUGUUUGUGUGGUAGUGGUGUACCAAGGCUUUGACGGGUAGCCGGCCUGAGAGGGUGAACGGCGACAUUGGGCCUGCGAUAGGGAGCAGAAUCCUACCGGCGGCAGCAGUCGGGAGCAUGGCACAAUGGGCGGAAGCCUGAUGCAGAAACGCCGCGUGCGGGAUGCCGGCCUUCGGGUUGUAAACAGAUUUGGCCUGUGACGAAGACGGCGUGACGGUAAUGGGUCAAGAAGCCACGGCUAACUACGUG
Molecule: ribosomal RNA, 468 nt
Filed under: uncultured bacterium
Lineage: Bacteria
Description: partial 16S ribosomal RNA
Rfam family: Bacterial small subunit ribosomal RNA
Source: RNAcentral